RNAcentral lists this long non-coding RNA (353 nucleotides) under Vigna radiata. RNAcentral's name for it is "long non-coding RNA (VRAD_LNC009497)". Lineage: Eukaryota; Viridiplantae; Streptophyta; Magnoliopsida; Fabales; Fabaceae. The record is from RNAcentral.
GUCGAUGUGAGACUUUCAACAAACGUUUUAGCAAGUAAGAGAGCAGAAGUUUUGACAGAAAUGAAAGAAGAAGAUUAUUUAUUUUUGUUGGUGUCUUGAAGAGAUACCGAGAGAGAGGGUUGGCAUGCAAAAUGAUUGAAGCAAUAGAGUGAUGGGCGUGGUCUGCAGAAAGCAGCAGAUGCAUGUCUUUCUAUGAGGUCUCGGGUGAGAGAGAAAGAAGGAAUGAAUUUGUUCAAAAGCCACGACACUGCCAAGCCUGAAUCAUUCAUCCAUUGGUCUCACCUAAUUAGCGGAUCUAUGUGGAAAAUGACAAAACCCCUUAUUGCUGUUCUCCCAAGUUGUUCCUUGUUCGC